RNAcentral lists this microRNA (21 nucleotides) under Glycine max (soybean). RNAcentral describes it as "gma-miR391a-3p". Its record names the gene gma-miR391a-3p. The record is from miRBase by way of RNAcentral. Lineage: Eukaryota; Viridiplantae; Streptophyta; Magnoliopsida; Fabales; Fabaceae.
AGCAUCAUAUCUCCUGCAUAG